UACGUAGGGUGCGAGCGUUAAUCGGAAUUACUGGGCGUAAAGCGUCUGUAGGUGGUUUAUUAAGUCAACUGUUAAAUCUUGAAGCUCAACUUCAAAAUCGCAGUCGAAACUAGUAGACUAGAGUAUAGUAGGGGUAAAGGGAAUUUCCAGUGGAGCGGUGAAAUGCGUAGAGAUUGGAAAGAACACCGAUGGCGAAGGCACUUUACUGGGCUAUUACUGACACUCAGAGACGAAAGCUAGGGUAGCAAAUGGG
This 253-nucleotide ribosomal RNA is filed under the name uncultured bacterium. RNAcentral describes it as "partial 16S ribosomal RNA". It matches the Rfam family "Bacterial small subunit ribosomal RNA", at positions 524 to 776 of the family's 1533-position model. The record is from RNAcentral.